This 161-nucleotide ribosomal RNA is filed under the name Rheum tanguticum. RNAcentral describes it as "5.8S ribosomal RNA". It matches the Rfam family "5.8S ribosomal RNA". From Rfam's summary of the family: 5.8S ribosomal RNA (5.8S rRNA) is a component of the large subunit of the eukaryotic ribosome. It is transcribed by RNA polymerase I as part of the 45S precursor that also contains 18S and 28S rRNA. The record is from RNAcentral. Lineage: Eukaryota; Viridiplantae; Streptophyta; Magnoliopsida; Caryophyllales; Polygonaceae.
AGAAUGACUCUCGGCAACGGAUAUCUCGGCUCUUGCAUCGAUGAAGAACGUAGCGAAAUGCGAUACUUGGUGUAAAUUGUAGAAUCCCUUGAACCAUCGAGUCCUUGAAUGCGAGUUGCACCCGAAGCCUUCUGGCCGAGGGCACGUCUGUCUGGGCGUCA